CAAAUGGACAUCUAGGGUUCCGGCUGUGAUUGAUUCAACUUAUAUCGAUUCAAAAACAGUGACUGGACCGAGAGUUGUCAACCUCAACUGAGGUCACACGGCGGGAUAAAAGCCCGGGAGGC
This 122-nucleotide small RNA is filed under the name Vibrio aerogenes. Its description in RNAcentral is "Guanidine-I sequence". It matches the Rfam family "Guanidine-I riboswitch aptamer". From Rfam's summary of the family: This family represents a conserved RNA structure found upstream of the ykkC and yxkD genes in Bacillus subtilis and related genes in other bacteria. The function of this family is unclear although it has been suggested that it may function to switch on efflux pumps and detoxification systems in response to harmful environmental molecules. Lineage: Bacteria; Pseudomonadati; Pseudomonadota; Gammaproteobacteria; Vibrionales; Vibrionaceae. The record is from RNAcentral. RNAcentral also lists the same sequence under 1 other name.